AGAGCAGGAGCAUAUGGACAGAGGAGAGGCAGAAGCCGGGCUCUGCAGGGCUGUGGAAGCUGGAGGACUAGGUUGUCCCAGAGUCCCGUACCCCUGGGGAUCCAGGAAGUUACACUGAGGUGAGGCCAACUGCUCUGUGUGUGGAAGCCAGAGAAGAAAGCAGCACAGAACAGAUGCAAACCAAGGAGGCUGGAAGAUAAGAGCAGAGCCAUCAGGACCCGAGCCCCUCGGGGCAUUUCAGAGCUUCCUGUGUGCAGCAUGGAUCUAAAGCUGGUGGAUGCAGGGGGGUGAAAAAGACAACAUCUUCACUUCCUGCAUGCUGAUGGCGGAAGUGAGACAUCAGCGAAGAAACAUCACGAUCACCAAAUUAUGAUGAACACCAUGGAGGAAACAAAGGACACUGUGACACCAAGGAAGGAAGGGAGGUUACUUUUCAUAGUGGCUGUAAAUAGAACUGAAGGCUGAAAAAGAGCUGUUAAAAUGGCUUGUUUGUUUGAAGAUGAAUGAGAGUACACAAUAAAAGGAAAAAAAUUUGGACACAGACACACACAGAGGGAUGACCAUGUGGAGACGCAGGGAGAGGAUAGCAGCUACAGGCCAGGGCGAGAGGCCUCAGAGGAAACCAGCCCUGCUGACUCUUUGAACUCGGACUUCCAGCCUCCAGAACUGAACCACUGUCUUCCUUUAUCCCAGGAUGUCUGCAAGGAAGAAAAUGUCCUUUUUCUAGCAUUUAGAGGCCACCAACAUUGAAUAACCAUACUGGGGUAGACACAGUGGGGAAGAGAUUCCUGCUGUUCCCAUCACAGCAGCCUUGGAGAUGAGGAGACAGAUGGAUCUGACCAGAAGUCUGGAGAACUUCGAGAAAAAAGGAGGAGGACACAAAAGGAAAGAACAAAAAAGAUGCAUCCGGAGCAACUAUGAGGAUGGUAAAUUGGUGUCUAAUUCUGAAAAUCAUAAUUGGUAUGAAUGCUAUGCACUGUGGAAGGAGGGAUGAAGGGUAGAGGGAAUAAAAAAGAACGUGAAGUUAGAAUCCUUGGCAUGAAAGCCUGCCGUUU
RNAcentral lists this long non-coding RNA (1055 nucleotides) under Pan troglodytes (chimpanzee). RNAcentral's name for it is "lincRNA". Lineage: Eukaryota; Metazoa; Chordata; Mammalia; Primates; Hominidae. The record is from RNAcentral.